AUCUGUGUCCCAUUUCGAAAGUGAAAACUCGGUUAUCAUCACAAUAGUAAAAGGCGCCAAUCACGAAUAUAAAAGAUAUCAAAAGAAAUAAAUGCGAAAGAAUAAGUAAACAAGAAGGAAACAAUAGUUACAAAAGAACACUAAUAGAAUAAAUGUGCCAAAAGGAUAUCACUUCCUCUACUCACACAACUGGGUGCGACGUGCGUUUCCACUUUCAUGGUCGGUUGAAUAAGUGAACGUCACAUUCCCUCCCAUCUUCAUGUUUCUUCUUUAAGUUUAUAACUAUGCACACAGUCAAUAAAAGCAUCUUCGAAUAUGCUUAUUAAGGGAGAAAAGAUUAGUAAGAAAAAUAGAAAACCGGACGACUUUGGUUUUUGGAUUUGGAACGUCGAGAAUUUGUAGUCCAUGAAUAAAGCCACUUUUGGAAAAAGUUUGAGUUGUCAAAAUGAUAUGAUUUGAGCAAAAGUGAAUAUGUAAUAAAUAAAUAGAUAGUUGACUAAUCAUUGCAUAAGUAAAAGCAUUUUGGAUUUGAUUCCAUUAAGCUAUGUUUUUCUAACAGCUGUUUGUCUCUCUGCCUUCAUUUCCACCCAAGAAGCCAAAAAACUGAUACAUUAUCUCCAUUAAGUUUUGAGAGAGAGAGACUGAGAAGAUGGGACUGAGUCGACGACUGACCUAACAUCUGCAUAUGCAAGAACCCAUCCACGGUCAAGGAGGCUUUUAAGGGCAUCUCCAACUCCACUCUAUUUUUUCACUCUAAAAUAGAGUUUAGAGUAAAAAUGCUCCAAUGGUACUCUAUUUCUCACUCUAUAAUAGAGUAAAAAAUAGGUUUAUUCUAAAUAUAGAGUAAUUUUUUUUUUUUUGUUCAUCACUCUAUUUUUUACUCUAAAAUAGAGUAACAUUGAAGCAUAUUCAAACUCUAUUAUAGAGUUACUCUAUUUUAGAGUAAAAAAUAGAGUAAGCCAUUGGAGAUGGUCUAAGCUCGCUAGGCCAUCUCUUAUCAAGCAUUUCACCAUAAGCACCAUGAACAUGAAGCAGACCAGGUUUCCGGUUCACCUCUCUCGCUCUGAGCUCUCGAGUAAACAACAGUUAAUGGAACCAUGGCUCCAUCAUGAGAAGAGACUUCAUGGUGAUCACAUGCAUAAAACUCGGUUAAGUCAUUCCACAAGUUGUCAUUCAAGGAACUAGUAAUAUCCUCCUCACUAUCAAAACUAACAGUUCUUGUGCCUUAAGGUAUAUUAGGGUUCUCGGUGGAGUUUGCAGUGCCGUAUAAAACACGUGUUCUCUCGUGAAACAUGUUUUGCUGCUGCACGAUGUUUCUGUAACGACCUGGUUCUCUGGUUCUCUAAACCAACUGGUUUGAAUUUAAUUAAUAAUCCUUUGAACCAAACCCUUGGUUUGUUGUGAUUAGUGGUAUAUGUAUGAUUAUAUGCAUUCCCUUCCUUCCCCGAAUGACCUAGCCGUCACAUCUCGUUAGUGUUGUGGUCUUUCACCACCUCCAACCAGCUGAAGCAUCAGUGCAUCACCAUCGUUCCUAUGUUGACGUGAGCCACCAAACCAGAAGAAGAGAAAACAAGAGCAGAUCCAGAGCCGCUGCAUCUCGAUAGGACCGGUGUUGAUCCACACGUUCUUCCACCGGAGCCGCCGUUGUCAUCACCACCAUCCAUCAACACAUACCGCCGUGUCGUUUGGAGGGCCCUAGUUUCAGCCUCGUGACGUACGCGAUUGGUGAUGUAGAGAGCGUGAUCAGGAAGGUUUAGUGUAUUAUUAUUAAUUUCUUGUAACGCAAGUUUCUUAAUCAAACCCUAAAUUAAUUGUAUUAAUAAUGCCUCGUUGUUUUGUGUUUAUUCAUUUUCGGUCUGGUGUGUGUCAUUGGCAAGAGCGAGAUCCAUGGCGAAACCGUAGCUUUCUUGCUGAUAAAGUCAUUUCGUUUAUAGUCGGACUCGCUUAUGUUUCCUUUUUAUUGGCUAAGGUGAAAGUUAGUUCGUUAAAUCCCGAGCUAGUUUAGUACUACUAUUAUGGAAAGCCUAGUUUCGAAGCAUGAUUUGUUUCUGUAAAUCGAGUCUGUUUGAGAGUCUUGUUUGUCUACUAUUAUUUUUGAUUGUUAAACUGGAAAUAUGAUAAUAGAGGAUUCAACGGUUGUGUGAAAUGAUUGAUGUUAAAAACUGUUAUAUGUAUAUAUAGUUAUAUAGUAGGGACUAUAUGAGGAGUGUCGGGGCCCAGAGAGAUCUUGGCUAGCGACGCAUAUGAGUACGGGGGUCAGAGAAAUCUGAGUUAGCGACGUAUAGAGUACGGGGGCCAGAGAAAUCUGAGCUAGCGACGUAUAGAGUGCGGGGGCACAGAGACAUCUGAGCUAGCAACGCAUAUGUGAUGAGUACGGGGGCCCAGAGACGUCUGAGCUAGCGACGUAUAUAUUUUAUGGUGCGGGGUGCAGAGAUGUUUGCAUAUCGACGCAUAUUGGUGGAGUGCGGGGGUCCAGAGAUGUCUGGACUAGCGACGCAUAUUAUAUUAUCGUAUAUCCGUAUGAGGAGAACGCAGGGUGUGUGAACUAGCUAUGUACCAUCAGCAUAUUGUUUGUUCUGUGUGAUGCGCUAGGCAUCUUGUUUGUUAAUGCUAGAGCUAUGCCUACAUAGUCGUAGUGUUAUGUAUUGAGUCAGUGGUUUGCGGUUUAGCAUCCCAUACCUCACUGGGUGACUCUCCUGUUGCUCAUCCCUCUUUCUUUCCAUUGCAGGUGAACUUGCCGAGUAGUUGGAUACUUGGACGGUUUGAUGUCUUGGGGAUCAUCGUAUUUUUAUUUUGGUUUUCAUUCCAUUUAUUCGACGUAUUUUUAUAAAUCAAUUUAAAGAUGUAUUUCAUUCAAAUUUAUUUUAUUAAAUGUGUUUGAUAUUUUAUUCGGUUUUAAAUAACUCGGUUUGAUUCAGUACUUUUCGGUAAGUAGCACGCUGGUCUCGAAAGAGGAGGAGACGGGUGUUGCAGUUUCAUUUCCCGUUUAAUAGAUCAUAAUCAACCACAGCAUCAGGCAUCUACAAACCACAGCAUCAGGCUAAUAGCUCUUAAGCUACGUAAGCAGGAAACAGCAAGAGGAGUUGUUAUCCUACCACAAGUGAAGAAAUCAUGUCAUAAAGGUAUUAAGUUGUAAAAAAACAGAAGUUAAGAGGCUGUAACAUAAAUAACAAAAACCAAGGGGAGUAGAAAGCAAAACUCGUAACUUACACAAAUUAAAGUUGGCGAUUUAUUUUCCUUUUUAUUAGGGCACCGAAAAUAUAAAUUUGCCUGUUCGUUUUCUCGCUAAUAAAGGUUUUCGUAUCAGUUUAUCACACAAGAUUAGAUCCUCUCGUCCUCUGAUUCAUCUAUCUUCAUGAGUCUUUAAACCCUCUCCUGUUUAAUUUACUUAAUCACUACCAAAAAGCUGAUCAAAGAAGAAGAAAGAAAGAAUGGUUGAAACUAGUGAGAAGACUCCUUCUCCAUCUUCUUCCUCUCAUGGGCGUAAAGACUUGGAGUUUUUCAAGGUUUAUCUUCCCGAGUUCAGCUCUCACCAACUGGUAUGUUCCUAUGUUAUCUCUUUUUCUUCUCUAGGACUUAAAUAUUCUUUUUUCUCUUGGAAACUAAUUAAUAUCAAAAUUAACGUGCAGGUGAUACCUCAAGCAUUCAUAAACAUCUUAGAUAAGCCAUUACCUAAAAAAGUGGUAUUAGUAGAUGAGAUCGGACGGUUAUGGGAUGUGGAGACAAAGAUUGGUGUUGUUGUUUUCAGACAAGGUUGGGAAAAAUUUGCAAACGAACAUUCUCUUGAGUUUGGAGACUUUCUUUUGUUUAGAUACAACGGCGAGUCUAGAUUUGACGUCACGAUUUUCGCCAAAGACGGAUGUAAAAAAGACCUAGAUAGAUUUAGGGUUUCUGUUGAGAAAGAACCGGUUCUCGUUAAACCUGUGGGUAUUUCUAUCAAACCGGAACCUUGGGAAGACUGUGGCAAGAGGGUCAUGCAGAAUCGUAAACGCGUUUCGGUUAGAGAGGAGGCUAGUGUUUUUGGUGAGAUUGAACCGGUCCACCAAAGAAAUACUAGGAAAAAGGUUAACCGGUCUAGAGAUCCUCGUGAGAUGUCAUGGGUUCCUGAGAAGAAACACAAAGGAUCUGAAGAACCGGUUUAUAAACCCAAGAAUCCGCAUUUUGUGAGGAAUAUUGCAGUCGGUUCACUUCGUUUACUGGAAAUACCGACAACUUUUCUGAAAGCGAACGGGAUCGAGCUGGAGGAAGGCCAAGACAUCGAGCUUUGUGAUGAAAAUGGAAAGAAAUGGCCACUGAAGAUUGAGAAACACGGUAGAGGAUGCAUAUUCUCAUAUGAUUCGUGGUUGUGUUUCUGUGAAAGCCAUAACUUGAGGAAUCCCAAUAAGUGUUUGUUUGAGUUUAUUGUGUCAAGUAAUGGGACAUGCAGCCAGAUUCUAGUUCGUAUAUUCCGUGGGACGUUGCUUACUACUGCUACCAAAAGUGGUUACCACGUUCUUCCUAUGUAAACUUAAAACUAUACUUACUUCAUUGUGUUGUAUUCGGUUCUUCCAUGACGGCCUAGCUCCCUAGCAGCUAGCGGUUUUGGUUAGAAACGUGUGUCCUAACAUACAAACAUUGAAUACUUGACCUAUAUAUAGAUCUUUAGAGUAUUUGUGGUCUUUGAUCAUUUGGCUGGUGUGUUUUUCAGUAUUCAUGUCUCAUAAGUACAAACACUUAUAUCUACAAAUAAAAAAUCAUUGAAGAAAGGUAAAUUUUUCUCCUAAAUAAAUAAAUACUAUUGUAAAAAACAGUAAAAUAAAAUGUGCCUUGAUGAACUCAAAGUGGUCGAUGUUCGUCUUAUAAACUGGCCAUAUUAGAGUUCUCCCAUUGGUAUUUUAGUUCUUGACUACGAAUAAAUGUUUAAAUUAUAAGACAAUUGGGUUGUUUCCUCAUAUAGUUUGAACUUCGUUUCGGACCUGUCGACUACAUAUUAUACAUUUUAUAAUGUCAUUUGGUAUUAGGAAUUCAAGGUAUGAAGAACGCACUAAACGCGGGGAAAUUGAGUCAUUCAACUAUAUAAAGCUAUGUCACGUAGGAGAGCACAUAGUUUAUUUUCUUUGUUUUAUGAAGAUGAAAAAACCAAAUCAGCCACCGGUUUCCAAAUAAACCAAUGGAACUACGGCCCAAAGUAUAAUGUAUUAGUCCACUUUGUUUUUUUAAUAUAAAACUGAAUGCGAAGUGUCACCAAUCCAUUAUUAUAUGCUCUGUAUAUAAAUACACACGAGUGUUGUUGUUAGUCAUUACACAAUAUCAUCAACAACAACAAAAAAAUCUUUCUCGAGCUUUCUGUUUUCCCUUUUUUGUGAAAUGGAGUUUGAGAUUUCUAAACGAGUCCAAUCGGAGGAAGGAGAAGAGAAUUUAAAAGAGGAACAAGUGUGUAACCAGCUACAACUGAAAUCGUCUGAAACGCAAACGCAGGCGCUGAACAAAAGAGCGGUCCUGAACCGCAUCCGCGACCACAAAUGUAUUCACAAAAUCAAGAGUCUUCUUCUCACCACCGCAGGUAGUAACAAGGGAUCCACCGUCGACGCUGAUAACCGUUGGAUUGAUAGUGGGGAUGUCUUCUCUUGCCCGUGAACUCGGCUUAUACUUUGACGCGUGUGAUACGUGUCGGGGAGAGAUAGGUUGAAGGGUUUUGUUAUGGAAAAAUCAAAUUGGGAUCCAGAUCGACAUUUCGCGUCUCUCUCUUGUUCUCUCUGGCGGCGAUCGAAACGGAGAUUUUGCUCUCACCGUCGCAUCUCCUCCGUGACCGUUGUCCCGUCGACGAACCUCCUUCCAAGUCGUCUCCGUCGACGAAUCUCCUCCCACGUCGUCUCUUCUCGACCAAUCUCCUCCCAAGUCGUCUCCUCUCGACGGCACAUCUCCUUCGUCACCGUUGUCCAGAUCAACGAACCUCCUCCCAAGUCGUCUCCGUCGACGAUUCUCCUCCCACGUCGUCUCUUCUCGACGAAUCUCCUCCCAAGUCGUCUCCUCUCGACGGAUUUCAUCCCGAGGCAUCUCUCUGCGAUUGGAAGGUGAAAGGGUAUGUGUUCCUCCUCCUUCUGAUUUGCAUGUAUAUGGUUUAUGUUUUCGAUCUACUUUGGACGGGGUUUGCAUGUAUUUAGACUUACGGAACUGAAAUGAUUGAUUGUUGUUUAUAGAUUUAGGGAUGUCGUAUCAUAUAUGUGUGAAAGGGUAUGUGUGAUUGAUUGUUGUUUAUCUCAUGAAACUGAGAUGUUUGUUUACAUGUUUGCGAGGUUAUUAGGUGAGGUGAGGUUCGACCACCAGGAUUGUAUUAGCAAAUAUUUCAGUUUGUCCGGUCCUGGUCUUCGGGCGUUACGGGUCCGUGAUGAUGCUAGUCCUGUAUACUGUUUUGUGAAGCCUAAGAGUGUCAUCGUAUGGUUCGUGGGAGUUGAAGGAAAAGGUGAUAAGGUUCGUAAUUGCCUUACUCUUUAUGAGAUUGAUGAGGAUGGGGUGAGAAAUGAAAAGGUGACAGAACGUGACGACGUGCAUGACUAUUCUCGCGCCUUCGUUUGUGGCUAUGUGUAUGUUCCAAGUCUAGUCCCUCUUCCAUGAAUAAGAGAUUAAGGUUUUGUUUCGUUUAGCAAAUAUGGAGAAAGAAAAUCAGGCACUCUCGUUUAGCAAAUAUUUCAGUUUGUCCGGUCCUGGUCUUCGGGCGUUACGGGUCCGUGAUGAUGCUAUUAUCUUCCAAAUAAUAUGUAAUUUUUAUGUUUUUUGAAUUUAAUAAAAUGUUUGUUGUAAUUUUUUUUUUUUAAUGUUAAACUUCUCUUUUAUGUUUUAUUUAAAAUGUAUUUUUUAUAUCUAAUUACACAUUAAAAUAAAUAAUAUAAAAUAUGCUAAGGACUUUUUUGGUCCUACCAAUAAUCAACAAAAUUAAGAAAGUCCUUAUGCACUUGUCCCUAACUAAAAAAUAAUAUUAUUUUAUUCUAAGGACAAAAUUAAGUAGAACCAAUAAUGUUGCUCUUAGUAUAUUAGUUUUAU
Brassica napus (rape) is the source of this 7020-nucleotide RNA transcript. It is a transcript of the gene named putative B3 domain-containing protein At5g66980, with no coding region annotated. The transcript has 4 exons. NCBI's taxonomy places the organism in Eukaryota, Viridiplantae, Streptophyta, Magnoliopsida, Brassicales, Brassicaceae. The record is from RefSeq and is a predicted model, not a curated record.